Molecule: ribosomal RNA, 480 nt
Filed under: Micrococcus sp.
Lineage: Bacteria; Bacillati; Actinomycetota; Actinomycetes; Micrococcales; Micrococcaceae
Description: bacterial SSU rRNA
Rfam family: Bacterial small subunit ribosomal RNA
Source: RNAcentral
CGUAGGCGGUUUGUCGCGUCUGUCGUGAAAGUCCGGGGCUUAACCCCGGAUCUGCGGUGGGUACGGGCAGACUAGAGUGCAGUAGGGGAGACUGGAAUUCCUGGUGUAGCGGUGGAAUGCGCAGAUAUCAGGAGGAACACCGAUGGCGAAGGCAGGUCUCUGGGCUGUAACUGACGCUGAGGAGCGAAAGCAUGGGGAGCGAACAGGAUUAGAUACCCUGGUAGUCCAUGCCGUAAACGUUGGGCACUAGGUGUGGGGACCAUUCCACGGUUUCCGCGCCGCAGCUAACGCAUUAAGUGCCCCGCCUGGGGAGUACGGCCGCAAGGCUAAAACUCAAAGGAAUUGACGGGGGCCCGCACAAGCGGCGGAGCAUGCGGAUUAAUUCGAUGCAACGCGAAGAACCUUACCAAGGCUUGACAUGUUCUCGAUCGCCGUAGAGAUACGGUUUCCCCUUUGGGGCGGGUUCACAGGUGGUGCAUG